Molecule: long non-coding RNA, 525 nt
Organism: Helianthus annuus (common sunflower)
Lineage: Eukaryota; Viridiplantae; Streptophyta; Magnoliopsida; Asterales; Asteraceae
Exons: 2
Source: RefSeq, a predicted model, not a curated record
UCAGAGCAUGUUUGUUACUAGCCUGGAGAGAAGAAACAAACUAACAAAGAUAGAAAAUGGCAAUCGUCUCUCUCUGCUAUAGUGCACUCCCAGCUCACUUUAGCAAGCUAGGGUUCCAUCACAAUCCAAUUUGUCGACCUGAUUCAUCAUCAAUCAAUCUCCAUCGUGUUUCGUUCACUCACUCAACUUCAAUUCUCAGGUUCAAGAAUGCCCCUGGACCGUUGAUAGGCAAGUGGUUGCCUUCAUUACAUGCAAUAAACAAGCCAGCAGGAGAAUCUAAUGAAGCAAUCACAGAUGGUGAUACAAGCAAUGCCCAAGGACCUCCUUUUCUGACCAUAUUAGCUGGAAUUGCCGUCUUUGUCCUUGUAGCCUGGGUCGUUGGAUCCAUCUUGUCGUGGCUAAUUGGUCUUUUGGGUUUGAUUUUCUCUAAAUAGGCGGGGUUAUGAUCUCGUUGUAUUUGUUUGGAACAUGUUUAUCUGGACAUUAUCAUCAGCAUUCAUAAUCAAACAUAGACCCGUUGUGCAA